GGGGAUGUGGCGGAAUUGGCAGACGCGCAGCGCUCAGGACGCUGUGGACGUUUCGUCCGUGGAGGUUCGAGUCCUCUCAUCCCCACCA
RNAcentral lists this transfer RNA (88 nucleotides) under Acidobacteriota bacterium. Its description in RNAcentral is "tRNA-Leu". It matches the Rfam family "tRNA". Rfam says of the family: Transfer RNA (tRNA) molecules are approximately 80 nucleotides in length. Their secondary structure includes four short double-helical elements and three loops (D, anti-codon, and T loops). The record is from RNAcentral. RNAcentral also lists the same sequence under 1 other name. Lineage: Bacteria; Pseudomonadati; Acidobacteriota.